UCCUACUCCUCAGGCUCUGGAACGACUAUCCCUCCCCACCGGACGGUCCCUGCAGCACAGAUGGCCCGGAUCAGCGCACCCUAACGUCCCGCCGAGCGGAGGAUGAUGAAGGCCGCAGUCGAUGGCUGCCCAGGCUUGCUGGGAGUUGUAGUUUUGAAACAUCUGGAGGUCCGCAGGUUUCCAGCAACAGUUCAAGAUAUGUGGCUGACAAGAUUGUGCCAAGAAAAGUUCUUCUAAUUGCAACCAAACUCGAUACUUUCCUGGCCAGUAAGUAUUCCUGAAACUAAACUCAUGCACGUGUUCACUAGAAGGUAAUAUGAAUGUCAGUGUUAUUUGUAUCAAAUGUCUAGCAUAAAAAUGUCUAGCAUAAACUAAAAAUAGUGUUCUGGGGAGAUGUGUUUUAUGCCAAGGGACCCCAGUAGCCAAGGCAUUGGGCAGAGAGCCUCCGGCAACCUAAUCCUCAACUAUAAGUCAUAAAUCUAGUCACGUAUACAAUGUCUAAUAUAUAGUCUAGUCGUGUACAGUAUAUCACAUACAUAGUGUAUUAUAUGCAUAGUCAAAAAUGUCAAGUUGUGUAUAGUCCAGUUAUAACAAGCCUAGUCAAGUCAGUAAGUGCAUAGUCAAAGGUCCUUACAAGUAAAGUAGAUGUAUAUAUGUAUCAAUCCUGUUCAACUACAAAACCGAGCGUGUAUGGACUAUUAUACAAAGACUCUAAUGUUAUUUGUUAUUUCCCCAGGCUGAAAUGGACGUUUGUGCAUAAAAUGCCUCAGGACUACAUCUGGCCACGCGGCCACUUCAUUCCUCAAGACUGACAGAACCUUACGUCCAGGACGAUUUAUGUUAAGCAAGGGGGUUUUUGAUGUCCCAGUACAGGUACAUGAUCCUGUACUACCUGUAUGCCCUGUCAGGUUGAGUCCCUUAGUGACCUGGGGGCUCCCCUGCAGGUUCUCCCCCUGUUAUUGGUUUUAUAUGGGGUGUGUAUAUCACGUUCAUGUAUAGACAGGAUCCCUAUGUCUGGAUAGUAUACAAGAUGUGUGGAGGUCUCAAGAACCUGUGUAUAAAUUUGUCACAUGUUAUGCAGUCACAUGAUCUGUUGUCACAUGUUCUCCCAGAGCACCAGCUUAACCUAUGACCCACAGCUUGAUCAAUGGCCUUUAGUCCAGCCCCCCUACUAUAUAAAGGGGCGGCCAUUUGCAAUUUUCUCUCUUAGACCCUAACAUCUGAUCUGAGAACAAGUAUUUCUGAGGCAGCAACCACCAGAGAUCUCAGGACAGGUGAUCAGCAUCUGGAAGGCCACAAAAGCUACAAGUCUCUCCAGUAAGUCUCAAGUCUAUGUCUGCUGUCACCGAAACUAGUCAAGUCUAAUUACAAGUCAAGUUAAUUACAAGUAUAUUGGUCCAGCAAGCUGUGAGGUCCUUCUGGGUCCUGGCCCCCUCUCUGGGAAUUCUGGCCUUAGCUGUGAAGAUAAUGCCAUCUGUCUUCUACUCAGUAAAGAGCCUCCAUUUGA
Long non-coding RNA from Hyla sarda, 1507 nucleotides. RefSeq lists it as uncharacterized. The record is from RefSeq and is a predicted model, not a curated record. The transcript has 3 exons. NCBI's taxonomy places the organism in Eukaryota, Metazoa, Chordata, Amphibia, Anura, Hylidae.